GGGUCAGUAGGUUGGUCGUGCCACCGGUACGUACUGGUCUCACUGAUUCCUCCUUCCUGAAGAACCGUAAUGCCAUUAAUUUGGUGUUGCGGGGAAACAGGACUGUUACUUUGAAGAAAUUAGAGUGUUUAAAGCAAGCUAACGCUUGAAUACAUUAGCAUGGAAUAAUGAAACAGGACGAUCGAUCCUAUUUUGUUGGUUUCUAGGAUUGACGUA
This 216-nucleotide ribosomal RNA is filed under the name Glomeromycotina sp. RNAcentral describes it as "partial small subunit ribosomal RNA". The stretch from base 40 to 216 matches the Rfam family "Eukaryotic small subunit ribosomal RNA", at positions 686 to 864 of the family's 1831-position model. The record is from RNAcentral. Lineage: Eukaryota; Fungi; Glomeromycota.